UGUAGUCAUAUGCUUGUCUCUGAGACUAAGCCAUGCAUGUCUAAGUAUAAACAAAUUUGUACUGUAAAACUGCGGACGGCUCAUUAAAUCAGUUACAAUCUACUUGAUCGUAUAUUCAAAGAAUUAAUCGGGUAACCCUAGUAAUUCUAGAGCUAAUACGUGCAAAAAGCUCCGACCUCUUUUAACCGAGGGGAAAGAGUGUAUUUAUUAGGUAACUUAAAACCAAUCAGCCCAAAAGGCUGUUUUGUUGAUGAUUCAUAAUAACUUUGCAAAUCGCGGGCCAAUGUCUGCGAUGAUACAAACGAGUUUCUGACCUAUCAACUUUAGAUGGCAGGAUAGGGGCUUGCCAUGGUGACAACGGGUAACGGGGA
This 371-nucleotide ribosomal RNA is filed under the name uncultured fungus. Its description in RNAcentral is "bacterial SSU rRNA". It matches the Rfam family "Eukaryotic small subunit ribosomal RNA", at positions 21 to 368 of the family's 1831-position model. Lineage: Eukaryota; Fungi. The record is from RNAcentral.